GAAAGUCUAAGGUUUUUGGAGGAAGGUUCGUCCGCUCCAAGUAAGUCGGGAGCUAAGGUCAGGCCGAAAGGCGUAGCCGAUGCACAUACGGUUGAUAUUCCGUAACCAUCUGUAAUUUAAGCAAAGGGACACUUCAAAAGGGUGUGACCCGGGCGUUGGUUGACCCGGGCGUAAGGGACCGAAAUUAGAGUAGGGAAGCACACUUGGCUGAAGGCGAGAAAAGCUUUCGUAUAGAAACAGAUGCCCGUACCGCAAACCGACACAGGUGGACAGGAAGAGAAUUCUAAGGCCAGCGGGAGAAGGGUAGUUAAGGAACUCGGCAAAUUGACUCCGUAACUUCGGAAUAAGGAGUGCUCGAAAGAGCCGCAGAGAAUAGGCCCAGGCGACUGUUUAGCAAAAACACAGGUCUCUGCCAAAUCGAAAGAUGAAGUAUAGGGGCUGACACCUGCCCGGUGCCGGAAGGUUAAGAGGAGGAGUGAGAGCUCCGAAUUGAAGCCCCGGUAAACGGCGGCCGUAACGAUAACGGUCCUAAGGUAGCGAAAUUCCUUGUCGGGUAAGUUCCGACCCGCACGAAUGGUGUAACGAUCUGGGCACUGUCUCAACUACCCACCCGGCGAAAUUGUAGUACCGGUGAAGAUGCCGGUUACCUGCGGCAAGACGGAAAGACCCCAUGGAGCUUUACUGUAGCCUGAUAUUGGGUUUCGGAAAUCUAUGUACAGGAUAGGCGGGAGACUGGGAAACAUGAGCGUCAGCUUGUGUGGAGUCGAUGUUGGGAUACCGCCCUUAGGUUUCUGGAAUUCUAACCUGCGGCCGUGAAUCCGGUCGGGGGACAUUGUCAGGUGGGCAGUUUGACUGGGGCGGUCGCCUCCGAAAAGGUAACGGAGGCGCUCAAAGGUUAGCUCAGCACGGACGGAAACCGUGCCUCUGAGUGUAAACGCAAAAGCUAGCCUAACUGCGAGGGUGACGGCCCGAGCAGUAACGAAAGUUGGAGUUAGUGAUCCGGCGGUAUGUGAAUGGAAAUUCCGUCGCUCAACGGAUAAAAGCUACCCUGGGGUUAACAGGCUGAUCUCCCCCAAGAGUCCACAUCGACGGGGAGGUUUGGCACCUCGAUGUCGGCUCAUCACAUCCUGGGGCUGUAUUCGGUCCCAAGGGUUCGGCUGUUCGCCGAUUAAAGUGGUACGCGAGCUGGGUUCAGAACGUCGCGAGACAGUUCGGUCCCUAUCUGUCGUGGGCGCAGGAUAUUUGAGGAGCUCUGUCCUUAGUACGAGAGGACCGGGAUGGACGUACCUCUGGUGCACCAGUUGUCAUGCCAAUGGCACGGCUGGGCAGCUAUGUACGGAACGGAUAAACGCUGAAAGCAUCUAAGCGUGAAGCCGACUCCAAGAUUAGAUAUCCCAUCGUAUAACGAGUAAGACCCCUUGAAGACUACGAGGUUGAUAGGCUGCGUGUGUAAGUGCUGUGAGGCAUUCAGCUUGGCAGUACUAAUAGGUCGAGGGCUUGAUC
RNAcentral lists this ribosomal RNA (1503 nucleotides) under metagenome. RNAcentral's name for it is "bacterial LSU rRNA". It matches the Rfam family "Bacterial large subunit ribosomal RNA", at positions 1339 to 2925 of the family's 2925-position model. The record is from RNAcentral.